RNAcentral lists this ribosomal RNA (253 nucleotides) under uncultured bacterium. RNAcentral describes it as "partial 16S ribosomal RNA". It matches the Rfam family "Bacterial small subunit ribosomal RNA", at positions 524 to 776 of the family's 1533-position model. The record is from RNAcentral.
UACGUAGGUGGCGAGCGUUGUCCGGAUUUACUGGGCGUAAAGAGCGCGCAGGCGGUCGUUCAAGUCGCGUGUGAAAGCCCCCGGCUCAACUGGGGAGGGUCACGCGAUACUGAUCGACUCGAAGGCAGGAGAGGGAAGUGGAAUUCCCGGUGUAGUGGUGAAAUGCGUAGAGAUGCGGAGGAACACCGAUGGCGAAGGCAGCCCCCUGGGCUGACACUGACGCUCAGGCACGAAAGCGUGGGGAGCAAACAGG